Molecule: long non-coding RNA, 386 nt
Filed under: Physcomitrium patens
Lineage: Eukaryota; Viridiplantae; Streptophyta; Bryopsida; Funariales; Funariaceae
Description: long non-coding RNA (PPAT_LNC006139)
Source: RNAcentral
GACUAAAUGCAUGAGUUUUACUUAUUAGGAUCAUACAAUUAACCAUAUUCCGAACCACUAAAAUACCAAGAAAUAUUACAAUGCUUUUUCCUAGUAACAAUACUCCUUCAUCAACUAAUAACAACAGUGUACAAUCUUGCACUCUCAAAAGACCGCUCAAAAUACAUAAUUUUCAUCCAACACCAGAAAUAACAGACUUUACUCCAACCAAUCUGAAUUCACAUAAUUCCUAUAAUCACCGACUUCUUCUAUCGAAAUACACACAGCUCUUAAUAAACAACAAUUAUAAUCUUCAAAUAACUCCUCAUAUAAUUCAAUCACUCAGUGCUCCAAUUACAUAAUCAAUAAUUCAUAAAUCAAUCUUUGAUUUAUUCCACAUACUCACU